UCUCCCUAUUUCUCCCCGAGCCCUAAUCUUCUUCCUCGCCGUUUUCCUUCCCCCGUCCCUUCUCUAGCGACGCCGCCCGAAAACCUUAUUCUCCUCCUCGUCUCAACGCCGCCUCCGAUUCCUCUCCUCUUCCUCCGUCGAAUCCUCUUCUCUCUUCCUCGAGAUUUCCUCUUCUUCCAUGUUUAUGGCCGACGUUGCCAUCCCGUCACCAUUGCCGGUCGCCGUUCACUGUCGCCUCGUCGCCACCUCGGCUGGCCGGACGAAGCUAGCUUGCAGCCAGAUGCGGCCAGCCCGCGGCCGCUACUGCUCGCCCCAUCUUCGUUCCGUGCCCAAGUUCCCAUCACCGAUUCUAUUUUUACCCGAUUCAUCGUCGUCGUCGCCGGUCACCAGAACUUCACCGCCGGCUCAGUGUGUCCUUCACCCUGCCAUGGGAUUGACCUAGACGUCACCUCCUUCCUCUGCCAUCCCUGCCCCAACGCCGGCUACUUGACGCCACAAUCCAGCAGCUAACGUCGCAUCUACCCAAGGUUGGCUACUACUUUCGACAGCAAGUUCUUCUGCUAUAAGCCAACAGCGAUGCAUUCGGAAUAGAUAUCAGGUAGAGGUAUGUGGAGUCGCUUGGAGUAUCCUGUCUGCCGGUUCCCACGUCACAUCCGAAGAUCGUUUCGAGUUUCGUUUACGCUUUUCGUGUAUUUGGUAUUUAGUGUUGUUAUUGUGUUUUGUGUUGUUGUGGUUGUUGUGUAAAGCCUAGCCGACUAGCAGUUGUUAUUUUUAGUUUGUAUGGUUUUGCUUUAUCGUUUUUCCGCUGUGUUGGUUUUUAGUACAGCCGAGUGGGCUGUAAAAUAUAUAUAUAACUGUGUGGUUGUGUUUAUUUUGUUCCAACGAGUGGGUUGAUGAUGUAAAUUGUGUGGUUGUGUAUAUAUUCCAGCUGUGUGUGGUAGAAGUAUAUUUUGUAUAUAGUAAUGCUUCAGAUUGUCACCCGUACAUGAGAGAUGUCAAAAUUUUUUCUGGCAGGGACUACCUGGGGCGUGACAGCUUACCUCUAAAUGCCUAAAGAUGAAAUUUGUAGUUGUUGUUUUUAGUUUGUAUGGUUUUGCUUUAUCGUUUUUCCGUUGUGUUGGUUUUUAGUACAGCCGAGUGAGCUGUAAAAUAUAUAUAUAACUGCGUGGUUGUGUUUAUUUUGU
This is a long non-coding RNA of Zingiber officinale, 1184 nucleotides long. RefSeq lists it as uncharacterized. The transcript is spliced from 3 exons. NCBI's taxonomy places the organism in Eukaryota, Viridiplantae, Streptophyta, Magnoliopsida, Zingiberales, Zingiberaceae. The record is from RefSeq and is a predicted model, not a curated record.